Molecule: ribosomal RNA, 267 nt
Filed under: Festuca heterophylla
Lineage: Eukaryota; Viridiplantae; Streptophyta; Magnoliopsida; Poales; Poaceae
Description: 5.8S ribosomal RNA
Rfam family: 5.8S ribosomal RNA (bases 2-144)
About the family: 5.8S ribosomal RNA (5.8S rRNA) is a component of the large subunit of the eukaryotic ribosome. It is transcribed by RNA polymerase I as part of the 45S precursor that also contains 18S and 28S rRNA.
Source: RNAcentral
CGGAUAUCUCGGCUCUCGCAUCGAUGAAGAACGUAGCGAAAUGCGAUACCUGGUGUGAAUUGCAGAAUCCCGCGAACCAUCGAGUCUUUGAACGCAAGUUGCGCCCGAGGCCUUCUGGCCGAGGGCACGCCUGCCUGGGCGUCACGCCAAACACGCUCCCACCCCACUAAACAUGGGGCGGGAUGCGGCAUGUGGCUCCCCGUCUCGCAAGGGGCGGUGUGCCGAAGAUCUGGCUGCCGGUGUAUCGUGCCGGACACAGCGCGUGGU